Molecule: ribosomal RNA, 440 nt
Filed under: uncultured bacterium
Lineage: Bacteria
Description: partial 16S ribosomal RNA
Rfam family: Bacterial small subunit ribosomal RNA
Source: RNAcentral
CCUACGGGUGGCAGCAGUGGGGAAUAUUGCACAAUGGGGGAAAGCCUGAUGCAGCAACGCCGCGUGAGUGAAGAAGUACCUCGGUAUGUAAAGCUCUAUCAGCAGGGAAGAGAAUGACGGUACCUGACUAAGAAGCGCCGGCUAACUACGUGCCAGCAGCCGCGGUAACACGCAGGGGGCGAGCGUUAUCCGGAUUGACUGGGUGUAAAGGGAGCGUAGUCGGUUUUGCAAGUCUGAAGUGAAAGCCCGUGGCUUAACCGCGGAAGGGCUUUGGAAACUGGGGAACUGGAGUGCUGGAGAGGUAAGCGGAAUUCGUAGUGUAGCGGUGAAAUGCGUAGAUAUUAGGAAGAACACCGGUGGCGAAGGCGGCUUGCUGGACAGUAACUGACGUUGAGGCUCGAAAGCGUGGGGAGCAAACAGGAUUAGAUACCCCUGUAGUC